GCAAGUCGAACGGUAACGCGGAGCAAUCUGGCGACGAGUGGCGAACGGGUGAGUAAUAUAUCGGAACAUACCCUAGAGUGGGGGAUAACGUAGCGAAAGUUACGCUAAUACCGCAUACGAUCUGAGGAUGAAAGUGGGGGAUCGCAAGACCUCAUGCUCAUGGAGUGGCCGAUAUCUGAUUAGCUAGUUGGUAGGGUAAAAGCCUACCAAGGCGACGAUCAGUAGCUGGUUUGAGAGAACGACCAGCCACACUGGAACUGAGACACGGUCCAGACUCCUACGGGAGGCAGCAGUGGGGAAUUUUGGACAAUGGGGGCAACCCUGAUCCAGCAAUGCCGCGUGAGUGAAGAAGGCCUUCGGGUUGUAAAGCUCUUUUGUCAGGGAAGAAAAGGUAGCCUCUAAUACAGGCUGCUCAUGACGGUACCUGAAGAAUAAGCACCGGCUAACUACGUGCCAGCAGCCGCGGUAAUACGUAGGGUGCAAGCGUUAAUCGGAAUUACUGGGCGUAAAGCGUGCGCAGGCGGUUAUAUAAGUCAGAUGUGAAAUCCCUGGGCUCAACCUAGGAACUGCAUUUGAGACUGUAUGGCUAGAGUGUGUCAGAGGGGGGUAGAAUUCCACGUGUAGCAGUGAAAUGCGUAGAUAUGUGGAGGAAUACCGAUGGCGAAGGCAGCCCCCUGGGAUAACACUGACGCUCAUGCACGAAAGCGUGGGGAGCAAACAGGAUUAGAUACCCUGGUAGUCCACGCCCUAAACGAUGUCUACUAGUUGUUGGGUCUUAAUUGACUUAGUAACGCAGCUAACGCGUGAAGUAGACCGCCUGGGGAGUACGGUCGCAAGAUUAAAACUCAAAGGAAUUGACGGGGACCCGCACAAGCGGUGGAUGAUGUGGAUUAAUUCGAUGCAACGCGAAAACCUUACCUACUCUUGACAUGUACA
Molecule: ribosomal RNA, 936 nt
Filed under: uncultured Oxalobacteraceae bacterium
Lineage: Bacteria; Pseudomonadati; Pseudomonadota; Betaproteobacteria; Burkholderiales; Oxalobacteraceae
Description: bacterial SSU rRNA
Rfam family: Bacterial small subunit ribosomal RNA
Source: RNAcentral